This is a long non-coding RNA of Polypterus senegalus (gray bichir), 1257 nucleotides long. RefSeq lists it as uncharacterized. The transcript is spliced from 2 exons. The record is from RefSeq and is a predicted model, not a curated record. Lineage: Eukaryota; Metazoa; Chordata; Cladistia; Polypteriformes; Polypteridae.
CCCCAGUAAGUUAAUAUGAGAACAGGUCCCAGUGCUAGCAGGGACUGAAAGACUCAUUUACAACAUGAAAAUGGGAUAGGCACUAUAAUAAACAAAACACUUCCACAAAGGAAGAGUUGGGAAUCGUUCCCAUAUAAUGUCCGAGGGACAAAAGAAAAAAAUGAUGAGGAAAAUAGGUGAUCACAUACUAUUUACAUAACAGUUGAUAACGUGUAUACAAAAGAUGGCGUUUUUAUACAUUAACAAAAAGGCUGACGGAAAUGAGUUAGCAGGAGAUGACGUCAAAACUGGCAGACGGAUACAAUGUCAUCAAAAGGAACUGGAAGUGAUGUGUGGAGGAAGUGACGGGAAGUAUUGCCAUUGACUGGAGCUGGAAGUGACGUCAUCAGAGGGUGCCGGAAGUGACGUUUGGCGGCAAUCUUGGGAACCCGGAAGUAUGGAGAAAGACCCGAAGUCAUCUGGAGAGGACAUACUCAGUGAAGGAACUGGAAAUUAACUGGAAACAGAGUCUACCCAGGGAAGUCAAAACUAAACAUUAUAGACACAUUAUAAAAGGAUAAGCAAGAUGGAAAGCAACCCAUUCACUUAUGGAUAUGUAUGUAGAAAGACCUCUUCCAUACAUAAGCUGAAAUUGCUUUAAGAGGUAUCUCAGCCCUGUUAAUUGUGGAAGUCUUCUAUGUCACAAGAAGAGAACAAAAUAGGGCUAACAGACACCCUGAAAACUUGUUGAGGUCAAAAGCCUAAAGGAGUACUCUUAACACAGAACUUUACUGAAAUUUUAAAUAGUUUGAGGCUCUCUGAUCCUCAACAGAAUGGUUAUUUUCUUGUGCUUUCUACUUUUUUGUGAUUUAAUGAAAGUUUUUUGGACUUUGGGAUAAGAAACAUCUUUACAUUAUGGUUGAUUGCAUACACCCUAUGGGUGCUUGACAGUGAAGCGGUAGCACAGAUACUGAACCUUUGGUUCUAAUCUCACUUUGGUCACAGUUGUCAUGAUUUGCGGGCUUUUGACCCUGAAGAAUUUAAUACUGUGCUAAUUUUUCUAACUGAACAUUAUUGUCAUGUUAUUAUUUUUAUAAUUUUCAACAUGUUAUUGUGUUACUAUUUUUUUUUUUCUUGAUUCUCAACAUGCACCUUGCUGUUUGGUUUGUGUUUGAUGGGUGCAGCAAACGUUUGUUAACAAUGAUGCCCCAGAAUUUUGCAAAGAUUGUAUAUAAGAUUGAAUUGUACAAUUACAAUGAAUUAAAAUGUAAUUAAGGA